This 123-nucleotide ribosomal RNA is filed under the name Microcebus murinus (gray mouse lemur). Lineage: Eukaryota; Metazoa; Chordata; Mammalia; Primates; Cheirogaleidae. The record is from RNAcentral.
GUCUAUGGCCAUACCACCCUGAAUGUGCAUAAUCUCAUCCGAUCCCUGAAGCUAAGCACGGUCAGGCCUGGUUAGUACUUGGAUAGGAGAAAGUUUUUCAUCAAAAAGUAGUUGAAAUACAUG